RNAcentral lists this ribosomal RNA (158 nucleotides) under Zeloasperisporium cliviae. RNAcentral's name for it is "5.8S ribosomal RNA". It matches the Rfam family "5.8S ribosomal RNA". From Rfam's summary of the family: 5.8S ribosomal RNA (5.8S rRNA) is a component of the large subunit of the eukaryotic ribosome. It is transcribed by RNA polymerase I as part of the 45S precursor that also contains 18S and 28S rRNA. The record is from RNAcentral. Lineage: Eukaryota; Fungi; Ascomycota; Dothideomycetes.
AAACUUUCAACAAUGGAUCUCUUGGCUCCGGCAUCGAUGAAGAACGCAGCGAAAUGCGAUAAGUAAUGUGAAUUGCAGAAUUCAGUGAAUCAUCGAAUCUUUGAACGCACAUUGCGCUCCCUGGCAUUCCGGGGAGCACGCCUGUCCGAGCGCCGUCC